RNAcentral lists this long non-coding RNA (2247 nucleotides) under Homo sapiens (human). Its description in RNAcentral is "GNG12, DIRAS3 and WLS antisense RNA 1 (GNG12-AS1)". The record is from RNAcentral. Lineage: Eukaryota; Metazoa; Chordata; Mammalia; Primates; Hominidae.
UUUCCUUCUCGACCCACUUGUUUGUAUACAACCACGCCCGGCAGGAUGACCACCAGAUGACCGGCCGCAGCAAUGCCUCCACUCAGUCCCAGUUGGGCAAAGUUUCACUCCACUGCGGCGACGUGAACAAGAAUCACGGCUUCCUUAUCGUACCUGCCACAACACAUGGGAAUUAUGGGAGUACAAUUUAAGAUGAGAUAUGGAUGAGAACACAGAGCCAAACCAUAUCAACUCUAUCUUCAUGUUUGUUUACAUUUCUCUCAACUGUAUGUUUUGUGACCCAGAAUGUGAUCCUGGUAAACAUUCCAUUUGAGAAGAAUGUGUAUUCUGCUGUUGUUGGAAGCUGCGUUGUCAUUGAUGAAGGAAUAUUUCGAAGCGCUGAACAAUUCUUGAUAAAGUUCCGAAACAAACAAAGCACAAUCUUCCCUCGAUUUACAUGGGAGUUGCAUUCCUGGAAAAUUCAGUAUAUUUUAAAACCAUGCAAAAUAUCCUUUUAAAAAAAUAUGUAACAUGGAGUUUAGGACCAAGGCUCAGAAUAUUUCCAAUCCAUGGUUGGGUGCGGAACCUGCGGAUACAGAGGACUGACUAUAAUAUCAAGAGAUCAUAAGGCUGUCGGAAUGGACUCUUUGUGGCAAUAAGAUACCAUAUUAUAAACAGGACCCAAGGUCAUGCCAGGAGGCUCGUGUGGUCCCUGUUUGUCAUCCAGUCAAUACGGCCAUCAGCUUCUGGCCCCAGACACCUUUCCUCUGCACUGUGGCACAGAGGAGCAGACUGCUUUGGAGGGCAGCUUCCUGGGAGCUCCAGGGACCCUGGCCAGGCGGCCACUGCCACUGACUUCCUCGGCUCACUGAGCCCGUGCCUGCAGCUCUCGUGUUUCCUCUGUGCUGCAGUGGACGCUUAUCUUCCCCCGAUGGCACAUUUCUUUGUCACAGACAGGACCCUCACUGGCAGUCGGAGGACAUCAAGCCCUAGUACAGGAAGGGACAUUUUCACACUAAUCUGUGCCAGCUGGAGCAGUCCUGCCAUCUGAACAUCAUAUUUUGGAACCCUGAGAAGCUAGGAUGCAGUUAACAGCUAGAUGUCAAUUCCCUGCAGGCAGAGACCAGUUCUCUGCUGCCAUGUCUUUAAGGCCUGAUGCACCAUAGAUUAAUUCAAAUCCAGUGUCUACCACUCACUCGGCUUAAUGUAAGACAAGAUGAAGACUCCAGACUUCAGAACUUCAGUGUCCGCAGAUGAGGAUUUUAAAUGCUUCGCCUACAACCUCAAUUGUUGUGGAGCCAAAGAUGCAACAGCUUUGAAGAAUAGAAGAAUUACUCUAUAUUUGUCAGGAUCUACGUGGCAAACAAGCGCCACUUGGCUUACAUUACUUGCCUGGCUUGGAUCCCAUGGAAUGGAGGAGCAUUGGAACCAAGAGGAAAAAAAUUAAAGUGCUUUGGGACAGCGAGCCAAACUCUUACAUAGUAUUUGAAAUGGUGUGGCAAACAUGAAAUUAUUUUAGGCUCAAGAUUGGUGCUAGUUUUUUACCCUCUUUUUGAAAAAAUAGUAAAAUGCACAUAAAGGGCCCUGCCAGAGGUUUAGCUCAUAAAAUCUGCCAAUCAUUGGAUGUGCUAAUUGGUGUAGCAAUCCAGUGGUGGCCUGGAUUAGGACUCAAAAACUGACCCUUACCACCCUUGGUGUCCUGCAGCAAAGACAGCCUAAAUCGAAAAGACUGAUGGAAGUAUAUCAAAUUACGAAUUUCUCUAUCCCUGAAAAAUGCCUGCAAUUUCUGUUUCUCCAUCACUCCAGAAAUACUCAAAACAGCAAAAAUUAAAUACAUAUGAAGUGAACACAAAAGACCUCCACAGAAAAAUCAGUGGCUCAUCUGUUGACGCUAUUGCUCAUUGCUCGGCUGGCCAGUCAUCUGGGCUAAGUUUUGACUUUGGGCCAGUGCUUCAAAAUCAGCAACCUUUCAGCCAAAAGACUGUGGAAUGCAGCCAAGACCACCUGUGGAAAGUGAAUUAUAGCAUCUUUAAUUUACUACCUUGGGCUAUGAUGUCAGAAACCCAGCAUGGAGGGCGCACCAGUUCUUGUGUGGGAAAUCUCUCAGAGCCCCCAUGGAGGCCCCCAAAGUGGCUCUGGCAAAGCUGUAGGGGUGGAGGUAACAAAAAAGGGGACACCUGGCUCUCCUUCUUAAAUCAGCUCACCAUGGGCACACAUUUAUAUUGGAAUUUUAGGGUCAGAAAAUACCAAAAUUAAAUCUUCUAGAAG